CUGCACUGACUCUUCCCUGGC
RNAcentral lists this microRNA (21 nucleotides) under Saccharum officinarum (sugarcane). RNAcentral's name for it is "sof-miR408e". Its record names the gene sof-miR408e. The record is from miRBase by way of RNAcentral. Lineage: Eukaryota; Viridiplantae; Streptophyta; Magnoliopsida; Poales; Poaceae.